AUAUCACAGGAUCAAGUAUUGCUAGCGAAAACUGCAUCAACUUUGGUACAUGACGGGCAAGUAAGUUUGAAGGACUAUAAUAAUCAUCGCUCAACAAGCAUUGCCAUUAAGAACUGCAUGAAUGUUGCUGUCUUGACGGCACACAACAGUUGCCUCCAGAUGCAGUGCUUCUUGUUCAUCGAGCUUCUUGUCCUGGGAGAGUUCAGACGUAGCAAAUAUGAUUCAGUUAGCGCAACUCCAUGUAUGUGCCAUACAUUCAUACUUAAAAAAUUAAUCAUGAGCUGUUCAAAUAAAUAUGCAUCAACAAACACCAUCUGACUGUGUGCUGCACAUACCACAAGGAAGGAUAAAUAGAGAAGAUAUGACAUUCAUCGCAAAAGGCAACCUAAAGUAUGUUUCAAUGUUGGAAAUGGCAGACAAGCCAACUAUUUUGUGGACAAUCCUAACUUAGCAAUAAUGAACAAAUUAUAUAAAUAUUAUUUAUCUUGUACAGGAAAAUAACUCUAGUGCAUUCUAGAGAUUCGUAACAACCGGCGGAAUUAGGCAAUACAAUUAUUUACAUAAUUGUCCUAAUAGAAAUCCAUCCUUUAUAAAACUUGCCAUUUUCAAAAUAGCUUAUCGUAUGUACAAAUAAGAAAAGAGCAUAUCUUAUGAUAAAAUGAUGUGUUGAACCCUCAAAGCCGCUGGACAUUUUAAUCACUCAAAAACUGCUCAUGAGUUUGACAAGAACAAUAUUAGCAGAGCCACUCCCUAAUACAAACCAGUGAACCAUGUACCAAGUAUAAUAAUAGACACGUAACAUGUCUAUUCUUGGCAUUGUGAAGCAUAAACAAGUCUGUACGCUGCAAAUAGUCAUUUCUACACUUACCAUAACAUCAUCACUAUAGUACUUUUUUACUGAAAAGAGCUCAAUUGUGUUUGUUUGGGUACUCCACUAGGUCGUGUUCUAUGAAAAAUAUCUUGCAACAUUAUUUGCAAACACACUAGGCUUGGAAAAGAAAAUUGAUCGGGUAACCACACAGAAUGAAUGCUUGAACAGCCAUGUAUAUACCUAAGAUCAGCAAAUUACAGCUUUCAACGACUAUGUAAAAGCAUAAGUAGCAACAUCAAACAAGAAAGGGAUUUUUAUGACUAUCAUGCUGAUGCAAAUUAGUGAUGUGGCAUGCACUAUAUUAUAAAUUGUUAUAACAAGGAAACUACAACACCGUGGGAAAUAUAAGUGAACAAGAUGAGAGAGAGGCCCGUGUCAUGGAAGAAGAAUUAAUCCUAAAUCACGAACAUGCAUACUUGCUUUAGUGAUAGCAGAGACUUCAAUCAAAUUGCAAGGUCUCUCGCCGGUGG
This 1341-nucleotide long non-coding RNA is filed under the name Triticum aestivum (bread wheat). RNAcentral describes it as "long non-coding RNA (TAES_LNC018460)". Lineage: Eukaryota; Viridiplantae; Streptophyta; Magnoliopsida; Poales; Poaceae. The record is from RNAcentral.